CACGUAGCGGAGGAAGAACCAACAGGGAUUGCCCUAGUAACGGCGAGUGAAGCGGCAACAGCUCAAAUUUGAAAGCUGGCCUUCGGGUCCGCGUUGUAAUUUGCAGAGGAAGCUUUGGGCGCGGCGCUGUCUGAGUCCCCUGGAACGGGGCGCCAAAGAGGGUGAGAGCCCCGUAUAGACGGAUGCCUAGCCUGUGUAAAGCUCCUUCGACGAGUCGAGUAGUUUGGGAAUGCUGCUCAAAAUGGGAGGUAAAUUUCUUCUAAAGCUAAAUACCGGCCAGAGACCGAUAGCGCACAAGUAGAGUGAUCGAAAGAUGAAAAGCACUUUGAAAAGAGGGUUAAAUAGCACGUGAAAUUGUUGAAAGGGAAGCGCUUGUGACCAGACUUGCGCCGGGCUGAUCAUCCGGUGUUCUCACCGGUGCACUCUGCCCGGCUCAGGCCAGCAUCGGUUCUCGCGGGGGGAUAAAGGCUUAGGGAAUGUAGCUCCUCCGGGAGUGUUAUAGCCCUCUGCGUAAUACCCUCGCGGGGACCGAGGUCUGCGCUCUGCAAGGAUGCUGGCGUAAUGGUCAUCAGCGACCCUUCUUGAAACGGGGU
Molecule: ribosomal RNA, 593 nt
Filed under: Mycothermus thermophilus
Lineage: Eukaryota; Fungi; Ascomycota; Sordariomycetes; Sordariales; Chaetomiaceae
Description: partial large subunit ribosomal RNA
Rfam family: Eukaryotic large subunit ribosomal RNA
Source: RNAcentral